This 679-nucleotide ribosomal RNA is filed under the name Photobacterium sp. UST991130-005. RNAcentral describes it as "bacterial SSU rRNA". It matches the Rfam family "Bacterial small subunit ribosomal RNA", at positions 359 to 1031 of the family's 1533-position model. The record is from RNAcentral. Lineage: Bacteria; Pseudomonadati; Pseudomonadota; Gammaproteobacteria; Vibrionales; Vibrionaceae.
GGAUUUGCCAAUGGGGGAACCCUGAUGCAGCCUGCCGCGUGUGUGAAGAAGGCCUUCGGGUUGUAAAGCACUUUCAGUAGGGAGGAAGGCAGUGUCGUUAAUAGCGGCAUUGUUUGACGUUACCUACAGAAGAAGCACCGGCUAACUCCGUGCCAGCAGCCGCGGUAAUACGGAGGGUGCCGAGCGUUAAUCGGAAUUACUGGGCGUAAAGCGCAUGCAGGCGGCUUGUUAAGCCAAGAUGUGAAAGCCCGGGGCUCAACCUCGGAAUAGCAUUUGGAACUGGCAGGCUAGAGUCUUGUAGAGGGGGGUAGAAUUUAGGUGUAGCGGUGAAAUGCGUAGAGAUCUGAAGGAAUACCGGUGGCGAAGGCGGCCCCCUGGACAAAGACUGACGCUCAGAUGCGCAAAGCGUGGGGAGCAAACAGGAUUAGAUACCCUGGUAGUCCACGCCCGUAAACGAUGUCUACUUGGAGGCUGUUCUUGAGGAGUGGCUUUCGGAGCUAACGCGUUAAGUAGACCGCCUGGGGAGUACGGUCGCAAGAUUAAAACUCAAAUGAAUUGACGGGGGCCCGCACAAGCGGUGGAGCAUGUGGUUUAAUUNGAUGCAACGCGAAGAACCUUACCUACUNUUUACAUCCAGAGGUCNNNUCAUAAAGCUGUGGUNNGUCGGAGGUGUCGCAGU